RNAcentral lists this ribosomal RNA (618 nucleotides) under uncultured bacterium. Its description in RNAcentral is "bacterial SSU rRNA". It matches the Rfam family "Bacterial small subunit ribosomal RNA", at positions 874 to 1503 of the family's 1533-position model. The record is from RNAcentral.
UGGGGAGUACGCCGGCAACGGUGAAACUCAAAGGAAUUGACGGGGGCCCGCACAAGCGGAGGAACAUGUGGUUUAAUUCGAUGAUACGCGAGGAACCUUACCCGGGCUUAAAUUGCACCUGAAUAACGUGGAAACAUGUUAGCCGCAAGGCAGGUGUGAAGGUGCUGCAUGGUUGUCGUCAGCUCGUGCCGUGAGGUGUCGGCUUAAGUGCCAUAACGAGCGCAACCCUUAUCUUUAGUUACUAACAGGUCAUGCUGAGGACUCUAGAGAGACUGCCGUCGUAAGAUGUGAGGAAGGUGGGGAUGACGUCAAAUCAGCACGGCCCUUACGUCCGGGGCUACACACGUGUUACAAUGGGGGGUACAGAAGGCAGCUACCUGGCGACAGGACGCUAAUCCCAAAAACCUCUCUCAGUUCGGAUCGAAGUCUGCAACCCGACUUCGUGAAGCUGGAUUCGCUAGUAAUCGCGCAUCAGCCAUGGCGCGGUGAAUACGUUCCCGGGCCUUGUACACACCGCCCGUCAAGCCAUGAAAGCCGGGGGUACCUGAAGUACGUAACCGCAAGGAGCGUCCUAGGGUAAAACUGGUAAUUGGGGCUAAGUCGUAACAAGGUAGCCGU